GUAAUCAGUUUAUUGACAGGUGAUCAGGACGAGAUGAGUCUUCCUGUGGCUUCAGGUUGAGGCCGGCUCAGUGAAACUCUACAGCUAAUAAAUUAUAACGUUAACUUUAAAUAAAGCAGCUUAGGAGCAAAGAAAGAAAGAAAAGGCACAAAUGGACCAAAUAAAUAUAUUAAAAUGUAAUUAAUGGAAACAUUUCUGAUCUAAAAUGAAUAAAGUGACGUUUUCAGACGUUCAGUCGGCUGCUUACAGACAUUAAAACACUGGAAGGUUCAAUCAGCUUCAGAUCAGUGUAACUCAUCACAGGUUUGUUUAGGGUCAAAGGUCAGAGGUCAGGGUUAGGGCAGGUGAGGCUGAUCUGGGAGGUCAGAGGUCAGGGUUAGGGCAGGUGAGGCUGAUCUGGGAGGUCAGAGGUCAGGGUUAGGGCAGGUGAGGCUGAUCUGGGAGGUCAGGGUUAGGGCAGGUGAGGCUGAUCUGGGUCAGAGGUCAGGUGAUGAUGCGUUUCAGAGCAUCAGGUUGAGGUCGGCCAGCAGAGCGUCGACGUCACACAGAGGAGCUCUCCAGUAGUU
This is a long non-coding RNA of Scomber scombrus (Atlantic mackerel), 566 nucleotides long. RefSeq lists it as uncharacterized. The transcript is spliced from 3 exons. NCBI's taxonomy places the organism in Eukaryota, Metazoa, Chordata, Actinopteri, Scombriformes, Scombridae. The record is from RefSeq and is a predicted model, not a curated record.